AAAGGAAAGGGAAAAAACGGAGCAAAAGAAACGAGAGGCUGGAAAAUUGAAAGAGGUUUCGGCAGUAGAAAAAUCAGAAGGGAAAAAAGGAAAUAAAAAGAAGGAAGAAAUCAGAGGGGGUCUUCGGCAAGAGCAGAGGAAAAAUCUAAGAGGGCCGAGAGGUAAAGGAAUGAAGAAAACGCAGAGCCAGAAAAGGGGAAGGUUUGGGAACAUUGAGGGGAAGUUUUCGGGUGAGGCCAAUAUCGAAGGAGAGAGAGAGAGAACCAGAGAGUAGACGGAAGCAGAGGAAUCAACAAGCGAUUGCUGUGAUCACUGCCGCCACUGGAAACCACCACCUCGUCUGAGUCCAGCACUGCCGCUUGCAGGUCGCCGUAAGUCAUCCUUUUUUAUUUGCAUUUCAGUUUUCCCUCAAACAGAGGCUUUGGAAAUUUGCAGAACAUGUCUG
This 445-nucleotide long non-coding RNA is filed under the name Coffea arabica (coffee). RNAcentral describes it as "long non-coding RNA (CARA_LNC005573)". Lineage: Eukaryota; Viridiplantae; Streptophyta; Magnoliopsida; Gentianales; Rubiaceae. The record is from RNAcentral.